This 351-nucleotide transfer-messenger RNA is filed under the name Bacilli. RNAcentral describes it as "UBA6448 sp015059375 Standard tmRNA". It matches the Rfam family "transfer-messenger RNA". Rfam says of the family: Bacterial tmRNA, also known as 10Sa RNA or SsrA, is named for its dual tRNA and mRNA-like properties. Its role is to liberate the mRNA from a stalled ribosome. The record is from RNAcentral. RNAcentral also lists the same sequence under 1 other name. Lineage: Bacteria; Bacillati; Bacillota.
GGGGUAGAUUUGGUUUCGACAUGUACAACUAAAUAUGAUUGCAAGUAGUUGGCAAACUAUAAAUGCACAAAAAAAUAAAUAACGAAACUUCUUAUAGUUUCACUCCACAAUUUGCUUAAUUAGCAACGGAGUACUCUUGCCUUUUUUCCUUGUAGGGGAGGCUAAGGGUUCAUAAAUGCAAGGUAUAGAUAGUUUAUUGUUUAAGUAAGUUAUCUGAAUAAUUAUUUAAACUUACUAUUUGAUGGGUUUGUUACUAGCCAGUUAAGUAGGAAAAUACAAAUAGUACUAAACUUGUAGAUAUUGUAUUAUAGAGUAUAUUGGACAGGAGUUCGAUUCUCCUCUGCUCCACCA